Dendronephthya gigantea is the source of this 1245-nucleotide long non-coding RNA. RefSeq lists it as uncharacterized. The record is from RefSeq and is a predicted model, not a curated record. The transcript has 3 exons. Lineage: Eukaryota; Metazoa; Cnidaria; Anthozoa; Malacalcyonacea; Nephtheidae.
CCCUGCCCGCAAAAAACCUGUUUAACUAGAUUUUUAUAAACCGCAUAUAUGGCCAAAAUUAUUCAUGCAAUUGGUUUUUAAAUAAGUCUUCAUUGAUUGGUCAUUAAGACACAUGAUGUCACAACACGUGUACACGAUAUGCAUGGACAUUUAUACUAGACCAGGUAUAUAUACUAAGUCGCUGGCGACUUUAACAUUUAUAACCAACACCUUGGCAAAGAAAGUAAAGUAAAGAAAGUUCAUUUCUCCUGUAUUCUUCGUCAAUAUACAACUAUGCUGUCACACAAGUGGUUGUCAGUUCUGGCAUUAUUUACCUGCGUCACAUUAUCUUUGGAGGAAAAUCCUAAAGACUGUCUUAAAGGGAAGCAAUAUUGGAGUACAAGUUUUAUCAAUCCCAGUGGCGCCUGCGUGGCCUGUCCACCGAAUUAUAGGAACUGUCGCAACGAGCCGUAUGAAGACCAGAAGCGAUGCGAAGACUCUUGCCGUGUUGUAGAUAUUACAAAGAAGGCCUCUUCUUCAAGUACAAAACUUCCUUUGCCACCAACAUCUAGCUAUCCUAAAGCCACCCCUUCUUCCACACGAUACGUUGGAUUUUAUUCGGUUGCGAAUAUAAUUGAACCGAACGAAGAUGAACCUCGCUCCAAUAAUGAUGGUGAUAGAAGCCGUCAUUGGCAAAUAUCGCUUCAGGCGGUCGUUGCAUCCAUUCUUUCUUCCUGUGCCGUUGUGUGCCUUGUUGUCCUGGUGUUGCUGGUUCGCGCGCGCCGGAAAAAAACAACAACAAAAGCAACGCCGAGCCGGUGGAAAUAGUGGAGAAGGUCUUCCUUUAAAUGAGAUACCAAAUAAUGCCGACGAGGGACAGUGUUUGCAACCAGAUAUUCCUCGUCAAGAGACUGAGCCUCCUGUUCAGUGCGCUACCACAUCCACCUCAGGGAUUGUCGGAAUCCAGGAGGAAGACAAUUUUCAGUCAUCUUUGAACAUCCAGACUGAAAAUGAGAAUUGAAAAGGCAAAGAAUUAGGAACACAAUUUUUAGUCAUCUGUGAACAUCCAGACUGAAAAUGAGCAUUAAAAAGGAAAAGGAGGAAAACAAUUUUCAGUCAUCUUUGAACAUCCAGACUGAAAAUGAGCAUCAAAAAGGCAAAAGGAAAAUACGAUUCGAUAUUAGUGUAUAUGGAAAAUUUUUAUUCACCGUAUACAUGCAUGUACCGAAUAACACGCUGGACUUUAUACCAUGUACAUAAAGAAAA